Molecule: ribosomal RNA, 492 nt
Filed under: uncultured bacterium
Lineage: Bacteria
Description: partial 16S ribosomal RNA
Rfam family: Bacterial small subunit ribosomal RNA
Source: RNAcentral
AGUGAACGCUGGCGGUAGGCCUAACACAUGCAAGUCGAACGGCAGCACAGUCAGAGCUUGCUCUUACGGGUGGCGAGUGGCGGACGGGUGCGGCAUACCUCGGAAUCUACUUUUUCGUGGGGGUUAACGUAGGGGAACUUACGCUAAUACCGCAUACGACCUACGGGUGAAAGCAGGGGAUCUUCUGAUCUUGCGGGAUUGGAUGAUCCGAUGUCGGAUUGCUUCGUGGGCGGGGUAAAGGUCCACUAAUGCGAGAGGCUGAAGAUGGUCUGAGAGGAUGAUCAGCCACACGGGAACGAGGACACGGAGCAGAAUCCGACGGGAGGCACCAGUGGGGAAUAUUCGACAAUGGGCGGAAGCCUGAUCCAGCCAUACCGCGUAAGUGAAGAAGACCUUCGGGUUGUGAAGCCCGAUUGUUGAGAAAGAAAAACAGCAGGUUAAUACCCCGCGGUUAUGACGGUACCCAAAGAAUAAGCACCGGCUAACUUCGUG